This 243-nucleotide unclassified non-coding RNA is filed under the name Hevea brasiliensis (rubber tree). The record is from RNAcentral. Lineage: Eukaryota; Viridiplantae; Streptophyta; Magnoliopsida; Malpighiales; Euphorbiaceae.
GUGAUUUUCCUGCUGGUCCUACAGGAAGGUUCAGCAAUGGCAAGACCAUGGUUGAUGUACUUGCUCAGAAAGUUGGGUUGAAGGAUUACAUCCCACCUUUCAGAAAAGUUGGUAAUGGCACAGAAAUUCUCAAAGGUGUAAAUUAUGCAUCUGGUGCUGCAAUUAUGCAAGUGGAAACUGCAGGAAGCAAGGUCACUUCCAUUAGCCAACAAAUAAAUUUCCACAGGACAAUAGUCCGACGCA